This is a long non-coding RNA of Haliotis rubra (blacklip abalone), 455 nucleotides long. RefSeq lists it as uncharacterized. The transcript has 3 exons. The record is from RefSeq and is a predicted model, not a curated record. Lineage: Eukaryota; Metazoa; Mollusca; Gastropoda; Lepetellida; Haliotidae.
AUAUUUUUAGCAAUCCCACAGAAAUGGCUAAUGUUAUUGAUCACAAUAUUUUGAUGAGUGAAUUUCAGAAAGACAUUAGAUAUUUUAUCAUGAGCUCUGAGUACUGAUAUGAUUUUAUUCAAUCUAUUCUUUUGAUAAUAAAUUAUACUGUUUAACAGUAUAUUACAUGCUACUAAAGUUUUCAUAACUGAUAAGAAAAGAUUAGAAUGUCUGCAGUGAAGUACACAUUGAAUGUUGAAAUCCUAUUGUAUUUUUUUCUCAGAGUCAGUGCUUGCGGGUCCUCUAUCCGCUCAUCAGAGGAUGUGAAAAAAAAUGGACCACUCUAAAGAGUGACUCAAGGAGGAAAGCCACUAGCCUAAAGAAGGCUAUAUUCCAGACAGGCGGAGGGCCAUCACCAUCUCCACUGAGUGACUUUGAGUAUAAGGUGGUGUCCCUCAUUCCAUCAGUACAAAUCA